AGGAAGAUGUUUCAAGAAGAAAGUGCUCUCCCAAUCAAGAUCAUCAAUUUCAGUUUGGACAGCUUCAAGUCCUUUACUUGCCACCAUUUCUUUAAACCUUUGUUCCAUGCACUUUUUGUAAUGUCCCUUAGUUAAAUUCUCCACUGUGUCCAGCAAUUCAUGAGAAAUCCCAUGAUUCACAAGCUCAAAGAAACCCCAGUUUUCACAUGCAUCUUUGAUUUUGUCCAUUGCUUCAGGCCUUUUCUCAGUUUGAAGCAACCCCAUAUCCACAACUGGGAAAUUACUCUCCAUUUUUCUGUUUUUUUUUCUUUUCUUACUAAGCUGACUCUCUAGUUUAUCUUUUAAUUUGCUUGUGUUUGG
RNAcentral lists this unclassified non-coding RNA (360 nucleotides) under Hevea brasiliensis (rubber tree). The record is from RNAcentral. Lineage: Eukaryota; Viridiplantae; Streptophyta; Magnoliopsida; Malpighiales; Euphorbiaceae.